Molecule: ribosomal RNA, 253 nt
Filed under: uncultured bacterium
Lineage: Bacteria
Description: partial 16S ribosomal RNA
Rfam family: Bacterial small subunit ribosomal RNA
Source: RNAcentral
GACGGGGGGUCCAAGCGUUGUUCGGAAUCAUUGGGCGUAAAGCGGGCGUAGGUGGCUUUGCAAGUCAGGAGUGAAAGCCCUGGGCUCAACCCAGGAAGUGCUCUUGAUACUGCUUAGCUUGAAUGUGGGAGAGGGUAGUAGAAUUCCAGGUGUAGUGGUGAAAUACGUAGAUAUCUGGAGGAAUACCGGUGGCGAAGGCGGCAUCCUGGACCAAUUCUGACGCUGAGGAGCGAAAGCCAGGGGAGCAAACGGG